RNAcentral lists this ribosomal RNA (999 nucleotides) under uncultured organism. RNAcentral describes it as "bacterial SSU rRNA". It matches the Rfam family "Bacterial small subunit ribosomal RNA", at positions 356 to 1376 of the family's 1533-position model. The record is from RNAcentral.
GAGGAAUAUUGCGCAAUGGGGGCAACCCUGACGCAGCAAUGCCGCGUGAAGGAAGAAGGUUUUCGGAUUGUAAACUUCUUUUCUGUAGGACGAUAAUGACGGUACUACAGGAAUAAGCCACGGCUAACUACGUGCCAGCAGCCGCGGUAAUACGUAGGGAGCAAGCGUUGUCCGGAUUUACUGGGUGUAAAGGGUGCGUAGGCGGCUUUGCAAGUCAGAUGUGAAAUCUAUGGGCUCAACCCAUAAACUGCAUUUGAAACUGUAGAGCUUGAGUGAAGUAGAGGCAGGCGGAAUUCCCCGUGUAGCGGUGAAAUGCGUAGAGAUGGGGAGGAACACCAGUGGCGAAGGCGGCCUGCUGGGCUUUAACUGACGCUGAGGCACGAAAGCGUGGGUAGCAAACAGGAUUAGAUACCCUGGUAGUCCACGCUGUAAACGAUGAUUACUAGGUGUGGGGGGUCUGACCCCUUCCGUGCCGGAGUUAACACAAUAAGUAAUCCACCUGGGGAGUACGGCCGCAAGGUUGAAACUCAAAGGAAUUGACGGGGGCCCGCACAAGCAGUGGAGUAUGUGGUUUAAUUCGAAGCAACGCGAAGAACCUUACCAGGUCUUGACAUCCAACUAACGAAGUAGAGAUACAUUAGGUGCCCUUCGGGGAAAGUUGAGACAGGUGGUGCAUGGUUGUCGUCAGCUCGUGUCGUGAGAUGUUGGGUUAAGUCCCGCAACGAGCGCAACCCUUGCUAUUAGUUGCUACGCAAGAGCACUCUAAUAGGACUGCCGUUGACAAAACGGAGGAAGGUGGGGACGACGUCAAAUCAUCAUGCCCCUUAUGACCUGGGCUACACACGUACUACAAUGGAUGUUAACAGAGGGAAGCAAGACAGCGAUGUGGAGCAAACCCCUAAAAACAUUCUCAGUUCAGAUUGCAGGCUGCAACCCGCCUGCAUGAAGAUGGAAUUGCUAGUAAUCGCGGAUCAGCAUGCCGCGGUGAAUACGUUCCCG